This 423-nucleotide ribosomal RNA is filed under the name uncultured microorganism. Its description in RNAcentral is "bacterial SSU rRNA". It matches the Rfam family "Bacterial small subunit ribosomal RNA", at positions 9 to 430 of the family's 1533-position model. The record is from RNAcentral.
GAGUUUGAUCUUGGCUCAGAUUGAACGCUGGCGGCAUGCCUUACACAUGCAAGUCGAACGGCAGCAUGAUCUAGCUUGCUAGAUUGAUGGCGAGUGGCGAACGGGUGAGUAAUACAUCGGAACGUGCCCUGUAGUGGGGGAUAACUAGUCGAAAGAUUAGCUAAUACCGCAUACGACCUGAGGGUGAAAGUGGGGGACCUCAAGGCCUCAUGCUAUAGGAGCGGCCGAUGUCUGAUUAGCUAGUUGGUGGGGUAAAGGCCCACCAAGGCGACGAUCAGUAGCUGGUCUGAGAGGACGAUCAGCCACACUGGGACUGAGACACGGCCCAGACUCCUACGGGAGGCAGCAGUGGGGAAUUUUGGACAAUGGGCGAAAGCCUGAUCCAGCAAUGCCGCGUGUGUGAAGAAGGCCUCGGUUGUAAGU